GAUGAACGCUGGCGGCGUGCCUAAUACAUGCAAGUAGAACGCUGAAGCUUGGUGCUUGCACCGAGCGGAUGAGUUGCGAACGGGUGAGUAACGCGUAGGUAACCUGCCUCUUAGCGGGGGAUAACUAUUGGAAACGAUAGCUAAUACCGCAUAAAAGUCGACAUCGCAUGAUGUUGACUUGAAAGGUGCAAUUGCAUCACUAAGAGAUGGACCUGCGUUGUAUUAGCUAGUUGGUGAGGUAACGGCUCACCAAGGCGACGAUACAUAGCCGACCUGAGAGGGUGAUCGGCCACACUGAGACUGAGACACGGCCCAGACUCCUACGGGAGGCAGCAGUAGGGAAUCUUCGGCAAUGGGGGCAACCCUGACCGAGCAACGCCGCGUGAGUGAAGAAGGGUGUCGGAUCGUAAAGCUCUGUUGUAAGAGAAGAACGAGUGUGAGAGUGGAAAGUUCACACUGUGACGGUAACUUACCAGAAAGGGACGGCUAACUACGUG
This 497-nucleotide ribosomal RNA is filed under the name uncultured bacterium. RNAcentral describes it as "partial 16S ribosomal RNA". It matches the Rfam family "Bacterial small subunit ribosomal RNA", at positions 28 to 507 of the family's 1533-position model. The record is from RNAcentral.